CAGAGAACUUGCCCCCUGGGGUAGAUCUCCCACCCUUUGUUUACUUUACCUUUGUUGCUUUGGCAGGCCCGUCACACGACCACUGGCUUAGGCUGGUCAGUGCCUGCCAGAGGACCCCCAACCCUUAAUUUUAUGUUGUCUGAAUACUACAAAAUAGUUA
RNAcentral lists this unclassified non-coding RNA (160 nucleotides) under uncultured Helotiales. RNAcentral's name for it is "sequence contains ITS1". Lineage: Eukaryota; Fungi; Ascomycota; Leotiomycetes; Helotiales. The record is from RNAcentral.